CCUACGGGUGGCAGCAGUGAGGAAUAUUGGUCAAUGGUCGGGAGACUGAACCAGCCAAGCCGCGUGAGGGAGGAAGGUACAGAGUAUCGUAAACCUCUUUUAUCAGGGACGAAGCAAGUGACGGUACCUGAUGAAUAAGCCACGGCUAACUACGUGCCAGCAGCCGCGGUAAUACGUAGGUGGCAAGCGUUAUCCGGAUUUACUGGGUGUAAAGGGCGUGUAGGCGGGAGUGCAAGUCAGAUGUGAAAACUAUGGGCUCAACCCAUAGCCUGCAUUUGAAACUGUACUUCUUGAGUGCUGGAGAGGCAAUCGGAAUUCCGUGUGUAGCGGUGAAAUGCGUAGAUAUACGGAGGAACACCAGUGGCGAAGGCGGAUUGCUGGACAGUAACUGACGCUGAGGCGCGAAAGCGUGGGGAGCAAACAGGAUUAGAUACCCUAGUAGUC
RNAcentral lists this ribosomal RNA (444 nucleotides) under uncultured bacterium. RNAcentral's name for it is "partial 16S ribosomal RNA". It matches the Rfam family "Bacterial small subunit ribosomal RNA", at positions 338 to 795 of the family's 1533-position model. The record is from RNAcentral.